AGCUGGACGCGGGUCAUGAGGUUCUGGAGGAAGAGGGCGUCCACCGGCGAAGCGGAGGUGGCGUGGCUAUUUCCCGCCGCAGCGGCGGUUGCUGCGGAGGUGUCGUGGCCAUUGCCCGCCGCAGCGGCGGUUGCUGCGGAGGUGGGGUGCCGGGCAGGAGGAGGCGGCGGCGAAGCCAUGGGCGCCGUGGUAGGGUUUUGGGUUUGGGGGUUGCGUUGCCUGUGGUUGUGGUCGUGUGGAAGCAGGGCUGCAGGUUGGGGACUUGGGGAUUGGGG
This 275-nucleotide long non-coding RNA is filed under the name Zea mays. RNAcentral's name for it is "long non-coding RNA (ZMAY_LNC000763)". Lineage: Eukaryota; Viridiplantae; Streptophyta; Magnoliopsida; Poales; Poaceae. The record is from RNAcentral.